AAUCAACGCUGGCGGCGUGCCUAACACAUGCAAGUCGAACGCGAAAGUCCCGCAAGGGAUUAGUAGAGUGGCAAACGGGUGAGUAACACGUGGGUGACCUGCCUUCGAGUGGGGGAUAACGUCCCGAAAGGGACGCUAAUACCGCAUGACAUCCUGCUUUUUAACAGGCGGAGAUCAAAGCUGGGGAUCGCAAGACCUAGCGCUUGAAGAGGGGCCCGCGUCUGAUUAGCUAGUGGUGAGGUAACGGCUCACCAAGGCGACGAUCAGUAUCCGGCCUGAGAGGGCGGGACGGACACACUGGGACUGAGACACGGCCCAGACUCCUACGGGAGGCAGCAGUGGGGAAUUGUUCGCAAUGGGCGCAAGCCUGACGACGCAACGCCGCGUGGAGGAUGAAGAUCUUCGGGUCGUAAACUCCUUUCAUCGAGACGAACGGCUCCUGGGCGAAUAU
This 451-nucleotide ribosomal RNA is filed under the name uncultured bacterium. Its description in RNAcentral is "bacterial SSU rRNA". It matches the Rfam family "Bacterial small subunit ribosomal RNA", at positions 32 to 464 of the family's 1533-position model. The record is from RNAcentral.